UUGAUGGUAAGCACUAAGGAGUGCUUGUUUGAGAAAAUUACUUGGAUCCUAAAUCUAAUGGGUUUGGGAGACAAUAAGUUGUUUUUUUUUCUGUUCUUUUUCUGGUAACCCUUUUUUCGCUAAUAUGUAAACAAAUUGCACAUCCCACUAUGGUGAUGAAGUAUCUGAAUUCAAGCUCUUGGGUCUUGGCUCUGUUUAUUCUUUUUUUGGUGUGCAUUAUUAAUUUUGAUGGACACCUUAGGCUAUUUGAAUCAAGAACUGUGGUAGCUUUAGAUGGUUAAUUGUAAAGAUAAUGAAUGAUUAUGUAGUGGAUGAUUUUAUUAAGUUAAUAAUAUUUUAGUUUUUUGUAACUUUUCAAUUAUUUGCUAUGGGGACAUUGAGUCAGCCACGUACGCAAAAAGAAUGUCAAAUUUUGAUUUGGCAACAAUAUAAUUUGUUACCAAAGCAUUGAACAAGUUUUAAUAUAGCAAUAAUUUUUUAUACAUUUAGCAACAAAUUUUUGUUGUUAAUGGCAUUAAAAAUAUAAUAUUUGGCAACAAAAAAUUAACCUAAUAACAACGGAGAGGAUAUUGUUGAUAAUAUUAAAAUAAAAGGCAACAUUUUUUAUUGUUGCAAAUCAUAUCAACUUUCGUUGCUAUUGAAAAAUAACUAGCAACAAACAUUUUCGUUGCUAAUUCAGCAUAAUGUCAUUGCCAAAUAAUAUAAUCAGC
This 710-nucleotide long non-coding RNA is filed under the name Panax ginseng (ginseng). RNAcentral describes it as "long non-coding RNA (PGIN_LNC018456)". Lineage: Eukaryota; Viridiplantae; Streptophyta; Magnoliopsida; Apiales; Araliaceae. The record is from RNAcentral.